Molecule: non-coding RNA, 689 nt
Organism: Drosophila virilis
Lineage: Eukaryota; Metazoa; Arthropoda; Insecta; Diptera; Drosophilidae
Source: RefSeq, a predicted model, not a curated record
CCAAAACUUUUUUUGUAUAAAGAUCCCUUUAUUUUAAAAAUUCUAUUCAUUGGAAAAGUUACUUUCAAACGUUAGAAAUAUAAUUUCAAUUGGGAUUAAAAUGAAGCAAUGCGCGUGUUACUUUGGCCAAUAUAUAAGAGCUUUAAAAGGAGUCAUUAGCACAUUAGAUUGGUUAAAUUUUUGUAAGAGUGGGAAACAGAACAAGCAUAAGAGAGCUUUUGCUGUAAUUAACUUCCUUGGCUGUUCCAAUAUAAAAGAUUUUAUCAAGAAUUGGUAUGCAAGCACUUCAGAACAGCAUCUGCAAGCCCUGAAAAUUGCAUAAGGAUCGCACCAUAAAAGCAGAAGUUACUCAAGAUUGCAUUCUCUACCAUAUGGUGAGGCUUAAAGAAGCGCAGCAACAAGCGACGGCAACCGACUGACAAAACCGCGCAACCUAAACGCGUUUUGGUCGAAAGGCAAUAUGCGAGAGUGUCAACUAGAAGCAGAGCGAGCGCAAGAGAGCGAAGAAUACCUGUGUGCGUGUGUAUUGGAGUGUGCUGCCUACCUGGGCGCCAGUGCAUGACAUGCAGCAUUGGAGCCCGAAUGUGCUGCAUGACAUGCAGCUGUCAUACAGACUGGCUGCUAAUGCUGCUUGAAAUUUUUAGUGUUGCAAAAUUAAUAAAAAUCUAGAAAGAACUGUUAACCGUAAA